RNAcentral lists this ribosomal RNA (422 nucleotides) under uncultured bacterium. RNAcentral's name for it is "bacterial SSU rRNA". It matches the Rfam family "Bacterial small subunit ribosomal RNA", at positions 794 to 1218 of the family's 1533-position model. The record is from RNAcentral.
UCCACGCCCUAAACGAUGUCAACUAGGUGUUGGGGAAGGAGACUUUCUUAGUACCGCAGCUAACGCGUGAAGUUGACCGCCUGGGGAGUACGGUCGCAAGAUUAAAACUCAAAGGAAUUGACGGGGACCCGCACAAGCGGUGGAUUAUGUGGAUUAAUUCGAUGCAACGCGAAAAACCUUACCUACCCUUGACAUGCCAGGAACUUUCCAGAGAUGGAUUGGUGCCCGAAAGGGAACCUGGACACAGGUGCUGCAUGGCUGUCGUCAGCUCGUGUCGUGAGAUGUUGGGUUAAGUCCCGCAACGAGCGCAACCCUUGCCAAUAAUUGCCACCAUUCAGUUGGGCACUUUAUGGGACUGCCGGUGAUAAACCGGAGAAGGUGGGGAUGACGUCAAGUCCUCAUGCCCUUAUGGGUAGGCUUCA